Molecule: long non-coding RNA, 268 nt
Filed under: Phoenix dactylifera (date palm)
Lineage: Eukaryota; Viridiplantae; Streptophyta; Magnoliopsida; Arecales; Arecaceae
Description: long non-coding RNA (PDAC_LNC014887)
Source: RNAcentral
AAGAGGGAGAAAGAGAAGGAGGAAGAGAGAAGAGGGAGACGUGGGGAAAAAAAUUCUUAAUUCUUCAUUAAUCCUAAUCAUCAUAGAAGUCCUCUAUAAAUAGGGCCCAAAUAAGAAUAAUUAAAAUAAAACCCCCUUAUACAAAAUAAUUUCCAAUAAGCCCAAAAUACACAAAUAAAGUCCUACAAUAAUAAAAUUGCAAACAAACCCAGAAAUAAAAGGCAAAUAAAAUAGGGGACUAAACAGAAGGAUGAUCAGCUCUGAUGUC